This 29-nucleotide non-coding RNA is filed under the name Rattus norvegicus (Norway rat). Lineage: Eukaryota; Metazoa; Chordata; Mammalia; Rodentia; Muridae. The record is from RNAcentral.
UAAUAGGAAAGAAAGGUGCGCUCUCUGAU